RNAcentral lists this ribosomal RNA (266 nucleotides) under uncultured Bacteroidota bacterium. RNAcentral describes it as "uncultured Bacteroidetes bacterium partial 16S ribosomal RNA". The record is from RNAcentral. Lineage: Bacteria; Pseudomonadati; Bacteroidota.
GUACCGCGGCUGCUGGCACGGAGUUAGCCGAUGCUUAUUCCUGCACUACCGUCAAAUCACUACACGUAGUAACCAUUCUUGGUGCAGAAAAGAAGUUUACAACCCAUAGGGCAGUCUUCCUUCACGCGGGAUGGCUGGUUCAGGCUUGCGCCCAUUGACCAAUAUUCCUCACUGCUGCCUCCCGUAGGAGUCUGGUCCGUGUCUCAGUACCAGUGUGGGGGAGUGCAUCACUUCCAUCAGUACACCACCAUAAGACAUUCGCCAAG